AGUGUAGGCGGCAAUGUAAGUCGGAUGUGAAAGCCCUGGGCUCAACCUGGGAAUUGCAUUCGAUACUGCAUAGCUUGAAUCAGACAGAGGGAUGUGGAAUUCCGGGUGUAGCGGUGAAAUGCGUAGAUAUCCGGAGGAACACCAGUGGCGAAGGCGGCAUCCUGGGUCUAGAUUGACGCUGAGGCACGAAAGCGUGGGGAGCGAACAGGAUUAGAUACCCUGGUAGUCC
Molecule: ribosomal RNA, 229 nt
Filed under: uncultured bacterium
Lineage: Bacteria
Description: partial 16S ribosomal RNA
Rfam family: Bacterial small subunit ribosomal RNA
Source: RNAcentral